RNAcentral lists this unclassified non-coding RNA (332 nucleotides) under soil metagenome. RNAcentral describes it as "partial contains 5.8S ribosomal RNA, internal transcribed spacer 2, and large subunit ribosomal RNA". The stretch from base 1 to 120 matches the Rfam family "5.8S ribosomal RNA", at positions 35 to 154 of the family's 154-position model. The record is from RNAcentral.
GAUGAAGAACGCAGCGAAAUGCGAUAAGUAGUGUGAAUUGCAGAAUUCAGUGAAUCAUCGAAUCUUUGAACGCACAUUGCGCCCCUUGGCAUUCCGGGGGGCAUACCUGUUCGAGCGUCAUUUCAACCCUCAAGCACAGCUUGGUGUUGGGACUCGCGUUAAUUCGCGUUCCCCAAAUUGAUUGGCGGUCACGUCGAGCUUCCAUAGCGUAGUAGUAAAACCCUCGUUACUGGUAAUCGUCGCGGCCACGCCGUUAAACCCCAACUUCUGAAUGUUGACCUCGGAUCAGGUAGGAAUACCCGCUGAACUUAAGCAUAUCAAUAAGCGGAGGA